GGCAUGAAUUUUGCCAGUAACCUUUUAAGCUUUCUACCUUCUAUUACAAUCCAACAACCAAUAUAACUUAAAAAAAAGGUAGACACAAAUAAUUAACAAAAGAAAAGCAUGAAACAAGCAACUGUAACUCAUGUUCAUUGAAACUAGUAAUUAUGUUCUUAAACCUUUUGAACCUGUUCAUUUGAUCCAUAAUUGAGGUUCGAUAUAUCUGCCGUUCGCGUUCAUUCAGUUAAGGAGCCGGCAACAGCAAGCGAGAGCAGCAGCAGCGCGCAAGCUCGAUCGCGCCGCCGCCUCGCCGUCCAUCGUCAUCUCCGUGAGACACCAAUAACCACCACCCUCCAUUUUCACAGCUCUGAUCUCUCUUCGGUCAGCCAUAGCAGCAGCACAGCGGCUGAACUGCCUCAGCCGCGCCGCCUCUUCGAGCUCGCCGAUUAAGGUCCGCCAGCCACCGCUACUACCCUCCUAUGCCGCCACCCUCACAAAACUAGCCAAGGAGGCCGUGGAACAGCAAGGGAGACGCCGGAAAAACCUCUGUCCUCUCACUUGAAAUUUGAGCAGGAGCUCGAGUGGGCCCUUUUCGACGAUUUAUUUCAUCGCCGACCGGCCACUAGGCCGUGAACCGGCAACCCGUAGUCGUUCGCCCAUCUUCAGGCUACCACUGCCAAUAAUAAAAAAGUUCAAACACUCUCUAUAUCUCCCGAACCAACAGCCGCAAGAUUCUCCGGCGAAUGGACGUCGGUGAACAAUCUAACAUAUCUAUGUAACAAAUCUUCCACAACAAUUGACGCAUCAACAAACAUAUAUGAAGAAUCCUUUUACAAUUAUGGUGAAUCAAAAAAUAAAUCACAAUAGCUUACACGAUUUCAUUUACAAAGUAACCAUUAGUGUGUGGAUUGUGAACAAAUGUAUUAGUUAUUAACAUGUAGGCUAAACAAAAUUAAAUUCUUUCAUCGAAAUAGCUUUCGUCUUUCUGGGAUCACAUCUAAUAAUAACACUAAACAAUAUUACAAAUAUUAAAAUAUGUGCCUAUGAAUUGCAAACGAAUCUGGGAAUCUUUUCAUCGUUUAAAUAUCACAUCACAAAUCAAUAAAAAAUAUGUGCUUAUGAAUUACAAAUGAAUAUGGAAUUUUUUUAAUCUUUCACCGCCAUAAUCGAGAAGCAAAAUCACUUACCUAUGUUCGUCGAAUUUAUCAAUUGAAUGCCUAAUUCGAUUGUCGAUUGCAGACUUGAGUGAGAGGCAAUUGCAGAUAAUGAUCUAGGGUUCGUCGACGGCCGGAGAAUUACAAAUAAUCGAUGCACUACGAUUAUCAGUGUUCAAAUAGAAAAAGAAGCAGAUACCUAUAAUCAAAUCCCAUUGAAAUGAAACAAGAUUUUAUAUAGAUUUGGAAGGUGAGCGAUUGUAGGGAUAGUAUAAAUCUUUCCAAAUUUUGUUCACG
Molecule: long non-coding RNA, 1436 nt
Filed under: Salvia miltiorrhiza (redroot sage)
Lineage: Eukaryota; Viridiplantae; Streptophyta; Magnoliopsida; Lamiales; Lamiaceae
Description: long non-coding RNA (SMIL_LNC005607)
Source: RNAcentral